AUUGAACGCUGGCGGCAGGCCUAACACAUGCAAGUCGAGCGGAUGAAGGGAGCUUGCUCCUGGAUUCAGCGGCGGACGGGUGAGUAAUGCCUAGGAAUCUGCCUGGUAGUGGGGGAUAACGUCCGGAAACGGGCGCUAAUAACACAUACGUCCUGAGGGAGAAAGUGGGGGAUGUUCGGACCUCACGCUAUCAGAUGAGCCUAGGUCGGAUUAGCUAGUUGGUGGGGUAAAGACCUACCAAGGCGACGAUCCGUAACUGGUCUGAGAGGAUGAUCAGUCACCCUGGAACUGAGACACGCUCCAGACUCCUACGGGAGGCAGCAGUGGGGUAUAUUGGACAAUGGGCGAAAGCCUUAUCCAGCCAUGCCGCGUGUGUGAAGAAGGUCUUCGGAGUGUAAAGCACUUUAAGUUGGGAGGAAGGGCAGUAAGUUAAUACCUUGCUGUUUUGACGUUACCAACAGAAUAAGCACCGGCUAACUUCGUG
This 484-nucleotide ribosomal RNA is filed under the name uncultured bacterium. RNAcentral describes it as "partial 16S ribosomal RNA". It matches the Rfam family "Bacterial small subunit ribosomal RNA", at positions 30 to 507 of the family's 1533-position model. The record is from RNAcentral.